Molecule: regulatory RNA element, 144 nt
Rfam family: ylbH leader
About the family: This family is a putative regulatory RNA structure that is found upstream of the ylbH gene in B. subtilis and related low GC Gram-positive bacteria.
Source: Rfam
AUUAAAAAAACCUAUAACCAUCAGGUUAUAGGGCCCCUCUUAUAUUGAUUUGAAUGACACGAGCACGCAAAUCAAGUCAAGAAGGCAAAGGGAGAGGAGAAACCGGAGGAAGAACUUAUGGGGAAACGUAAGUCUUCUCCGCGG